This 249-nucleotide long non-coding RNA is filed under the name Gossypium barbadense (sea-island cotton). Its description in RNAcentral is "long non-coding RNA (GBAR_LNC005450)". The record is from RNAcentral. Lineage: Eukaryota; Viridiplantae; Streptophyta; Magnoliopsida; Malvales; Malvaceae.
UUCGCAUCCAUAAGUGAACUCGGACUCAACUCGACGAGUUCGGAUGCUCAACCAUCCUAGUGACAUGUCACUUGUAUCCUAAUCUAUUCCUAAGGUUCAAACGGGAUUUUCCUCGAACACUUAUCCUUGCCAUCUUCCGUAGAAUGCCGAAAUCAAUACUCGGUAACAAUUAUAUUUAACAAGUAGCUCACAUAAUUUACAUAUUAUUUGAAAUUAACCACAAAGCAUACAUUUCAUAAUGAAAUUCAG